RNAcentral lists this small RNA (520 nucleotides) under uncultured Glomus. RNAcentral describes it as "SSU rRNA". It matches the Rfam family "Eukaryotic small subunit ribosomal RNA", at positions 569 to 1090 of the family's 1831-position model. Lineage: Eukaryota; Fungi; Glomeromycota; Glomeromycetes; Glomerales; Glomeraceae. The record is from RNAcentral.
AGCAGCCGCGGUAAUUCCAGCUCCAAUAGCGUAUAUUAAAGUUGUUGCAGUUAAAAAGCUCGUAGUUGAAUUUCGGGAUUAAUUUACUGGUCGUGCUAUUGUACGUACUGGUUUUAUUGAUUCCUCCCUUCUGACGAACUAUGAUGUCAUUAAUUUGGUGUCAUAGGAAAUCAGGACUGUUACUUUGAAAAAAUUAGAGUGUUUAAAGCAGGCUCACGCUUGAAUACAUUAGCAUGGAAUAACGGAAUAGGACGUUUGAUUCUAUUUUGUUGGUUUCUAGGAUCGACGUAAUGAUUAAUAGGGAUAGUUGGGGGCAUUAGUAUUCAAUUGUCAGAGGUGAAAUUCUUGGAUUUAUUGAAGACUAACUACUGCGAAAGCAUUUGCCAAGGAUGUUUUCAUUAAUCAAGAACGAAAGUUAGGGGAUCGAAGACGAUCAGAUACCGUCGUAGUCUUAACCAUAAACUAUGCCGACUAGGGAUCGGAUGAUGUUAAUUUUUUAAUGUACUCAUUCGGCGCCUUA